RNAcentral lists this ribosomal RNA (468 nucleotides) under uncultured bacterium. Its description in RNAcentral is "partial 16S ribosomal RNA". It matches the Rfam family "Bacterial small subunit ribosomal RNA", at positions 28 to 507 of the family's 1533-position model. The record is from RNAcentral.
GACGAACGCUGGCGGCGUGCUUAACACAUGCAAGUCGAACGGAAAGGCCCUGCUUUUGUGGGGUGCUCGAGUGGCGAACGGGUGAGUAACACGUGAGUAACCUGCCCUUGACUUUGGGAUAACUUCAGGAAACUGGGGCUAAUACCGGAUAGGAGCUCCUGCUGCAUGGUGGGGGUUGGAAAGUUUCGGCGGUUGGGGCUGGACUCGCGGCUUAUCAGCUUGUUGGUGGGGUAGUGGCUUACCAAGGCUUUGACGGGUAGCCGGCCUGAGAGGGUUAACGGCGACCAUGGGCCUAAGAGACGGCCCAGACUCCUACGGGCGGCAGCAGUGGGGAAUAUUGCAGAAUGGGCGGAAGCCUGAUGCAGCAACGCCGGGUGCGGGAUGACGGCCUUCGGGUUGUAAACCGCUUUCGCCUGUGACGAAGCGUGAGUGACGGUAAUGGGUAAAGAAGCACCGGCUAACUACGUG